RNAcentral lists this ribosomal RNA (289 nucleotides) under uncultured bacterium. Its description in RNAcentral is "partial 16S ribosomal RNA". It matches the Rfam family "Bacterial small subunit ribosomal RNA", at positions 542 to 829 of the family's 1533-position model. The record is from RNAcentral.
UGUCCGGAUUUACUGGGUGUAAAGGGUGCGUAGGCGGCUUUGCAAGUCAGAUGUGAAAUCUAUGGGCUCAACCCAUAAACUGCAUUUGAAACUGUAGAGCUUGAGUGAAGUAGAGGCAGGCGGAAUUCCCCGUGUAGCGGUGAAAUGCGUAGAGAUGGGGAGGAACACCAGUGGCGAAGGCGGCCUGCUGGGCUUUAACUGACGCUGAGGCACGAAAGCGUGGGUAGCAAACAGGAUUAGAUACCCUGGUAGUCCACGCUGUACAACGAUGAUUACUAGGUGUGGGGGG